Trifolium pratense (red clover) is the source of this 567-nucleotide long non-coding RNA. RefSeq lists it as uncharacterized. The transcript is spliced from 6 exons. The record is from RefSeq and is a predicted model, not a curated record. NCBI's taxonomy places the organism in Eukaryota, Viridiplantae, Streptophyta, Magnoliopsida, Fabales, Fabaceae.
UUUGCAGAUAACAAAAUGCAUCAAUCCUAAGGAGAUGUUUUUUGCUCUUCUUCUCCUUUAAUUUGCUAUGGGUCAAAUUACAAAUUCGACCUUUGUGUCUUAAUCAACAUACAAGGAAAAAAGAUCCCGAAUUCAUUUUUUGUGUCUCAAUCAAUGUUAGAAGAAAAAAAAAGAGAUAUGAGUUUGUGGACUUUCAAUUUGAGAGGUGUGUGUAUUCCAGAAGGAGAAUAAUAAUCAAAGCUUUCUGAGGCGUGCAAAUAGAGUGGUCGAUUGCUACCGCAACAUAUAAAGGCUUUUUGAGGCGUGCAAAUGGAGUGGUUGAUUGCUACCGCAACAUAUAAAGGGUAACAUUUAAGCUUGAAGUGACAGAUGCAUGUUUGGAUACAAGUUAUGCCAUCGGGAACUUUAGUAAGCUGUCAUAAAAUUAAAAAAUAUAGUUGUACAAUUGUAGAAUUUGAUAUAUUGUUGUGGAAUUAAUUUAAUUCCAAACCUUUUUUCAAACUUCUUUGGAUUGAGCUAGAUAGAUGACAUGUAUAUGUAUGAUGAAAAGAUAAGAUUAAUGAUAAU